Harmonia axyridis is the source of this 580-nucleotide long non-coding RNA. RefSeq lists it as uncharacterized. The transcript is spliced from 2 exons. The record is from RefSeq and is a predicted model, not a curated record. Lineage: Eukaryota; Metazoa; Arthropoda; Insecta; Coleoptera; Coccinellidae.
CCGACCUAUACCAGGAUCCUCUUGAAGCUACCACAAGCUAAGCUUCAUGUAAUGUCCUAGGCUUACCCUCCUAAGAACCUCUCACAUGGGAAAGUCAGUUCUGGAUACUCACGAAGUAAUAAUCAAGGCUCCUAAGGAUGAAUAUUAGUGUUUUUAAAUGAGAGACGCUAUAUUUUUUAAAGAAGUUUUUAAGCCGCAGAUUCGUCCAAAAGCAUUCCGUUACUGGUUUUUCAAAAAUGUCGUUUGAAAGAUAUAGUUUUUCGAUUUCAUUCUUUUGAUGAGGCACCUCAUAUUUUUUAUUUAUUUCGAGAUUUAAUUCAUUUUGUGCCUAUUGUAUGAGUAAUAUAUCCAUAUCCCAUUAAUAAACUCUCCUCUAUAUCUUUAACACGUUAAUUGAAAUCAUGAUUUGUAAUGAUUGUCAUAUAAACCAUAAAGUCACUGAAAAAAACGUUUUAGAAUUUUUCGAGCAUCUCGAACAGAAAGCAAUAUAAAGCGAAAUAUUUCAGUCAUUUUUCAGAAACGCCCAACUCGAGACUGAAUCAAGAUGUCUAUGAUCUGCUUUCUGAUAUCUAAUUAUUUC